GCUAAGGGGGCGGGUGUUCAGUUUGGGAGGCAUCCGCAUUGGGCCAUGAUGAGUGAGAAGUCACGUGAUCACAGGUGAAUGCCCAUACUAACUACCCAAAGCAAUCUCUAGAUUCGGUGCGGUCCCUAUCAAAAUCCCACAGCGCUUUUCACAGAAAUACAACAAACAGUUCUAAAAUCUGCAUGCCGUCACCACGACACAGAGCAGCCCUAGCAAUCUGGGGAAGGAACAACGCCUUGGCAUCACCUACCUGACUGUAAGUAUUUCACAAAGCUAUAGUGCUCAAAACAGGAUGGCCUUGGUGAAACACACGUAGGUCCAUGGAACAGAGCAGAAAUAAGCCCCGGCACAUAUGGGCAAUUAACUUAUGACAAAGGAGGGGCACCUGGGUGGCUCAGUCGGUUAAGCCUCUGAUUUCAGCUCAGGUCAGAUCUCACGUUCGUGGGUUCGAGCCCUGCAUCAGGCUCUGUGCUGACAGCUAGCUCAGAGCUUGGAGCCUGCUUCGGAGUCUGUGUCUCCCUCUCUUUCUACCCCUUUCCUGCUUGCACUCUGUCUCUCUCUCUCUCUCAAAAAUAAAUAAACAUUAAAAAAGUUGGACGCUUAGCCGUAUGAGCCACCAGGCACCCCUGCUUUAGCUGCCUUGUAAUUAAAUCACUGCGUGUCUGUUGAGGACUAAUUCUGUGCUGGUGUGUGGCAGUUUCAGGGGCUGCAAAGAUAAGCGAGACACGAAGGAGGGGGAGACACAUGGGCACACAGCGUCAGGCAGAAGGCAUCAUGGGGUUUCAGGAGCCGGCUGUCAAGCCUAAAUUCCUGGAAACGGACUUUGGAACCGCCCAGAACACGGAAGAAAAACGAUCUUGGGGGAUACAUAUGGGUCAGUAGAGACCCAAGUAGAGAGGGUGAACCGGGGCCCUGACCUCACUCGUUGCCGGCCUCGGACCUCGGCCACUGCUAGGAAGGCUCCUUUUCAAAGCAACUGCUUGUU
This 985-nucleotide long non-coding RNA is filed under the name Suricata suricatta (meerkat). RNAcentral describes it as "lncRNA (ENSSSUG00005012193.1)". The record is from RNAcentral. Lineage: Eukaryota; Metazoa; Chordata; Mammalia; Carnivora; Herpestidae.